Long non-coding RNA from Carassius gibelio (silver crucian carp), 1640 nucleotides. RefSeq lists it as uncharacterized. Lineage: Eukaryota; Metazoa; Chordata; Actinopteri; Cypriniformes; Cyprinidae. The record is from RefSeq and is a predicted model, not a curated record. The transcript has 3 exons.
CAGAAGAUCAAACGCAUUCUAUCCAGGUACUGCUACUUAGCAAACAAAAUUCACUACAAUUUGAGCAAGAACAUAUCAAGUUCUCCACAAACCCGAGAGCACCCCAAACAAUAAUAAUAAAAAAAAAACUUUACAUUAAAACUUGCAAUAACACAUCUGAUGACCACAUGCCCCAUUUGCACAUCACCUCAAACACAUGUUAAACACCGCAGCAGAUGGUGGAACAGAGGGAGAGGGGUGUUUCCAAUGCUUUAAGCGCUUAUGUUUGACAGCUUGUCCUGUAAGUCCAUCCCCACUCAAGAACUCUAUGCUUUUCUUCUUCUGUCAACUGAAGGAAAAUAAUUUGUCCCAGUCUGUGUCACUCAACAGAAGAAUCGAUCAAACGACCCAAUCAGUUUAUUCCAACCAAUUAAUCCCCUUUUGCUCCAAGCAUUAGCUUAAAGGAGCCAGCUAUAAUCAUUGGUUCCACCUCGUAAUUAGUUGUAAUUCUAGUGCUGACAUGGCUUAAGAGCCUCAUUUAGAGGGCUUGUCACUCUGGGGGUGGGAAGGAAAUAUGGAGAACAGGAAAGUCUACCCUCUCCUUAAACAUGGCAGAUGUGUUCAUCAGUCGAUUCCAUCUCUCUUCCAUAUUGAGCAGCGCACAACUGAUAGGAGGGCUGGGAAAAGAAGGAUUGGCCAGAGAUUAAUGUGUUAAUGAAGAGAUCCAUAUUAUAUUCCUGAGGAUCCUUUGCUGAGCAAGUGAUAUAAUGCUACAUUUCUCCAAAUCUGUCCUGAUGAAGAAACUCAUAUCUUGGAUGGACAACCCAUUAAUCAAGCACCAAGGAUGGAUGAAAAGGCAAAUAAUCAGGUUUCAAAACAAUUGCUCUUAAUUGGACUCUGGGUUCAUCCCUCCCACAUCCAUUUACGCUUUCCCCAAUGCAGGUGGAUCCUCUAAUUAGAAUAACAUUUUAGUUUGAGCUGCUUGUGCUCCAUAUUUAUUGUCCCACCAACAUUCAACUUAAUUUCCAAUCCUUUGCCUCUUGUGUCCAAAUCAAAGAGCUGGACUGUCAUAAAUGGACCGCUAUAUUUAUAGUCUGUGGGGUCAUAUUCUCUAAGACCUGAACCCUUGACCCAUGCGAGGGGAUUCAUGUAGCACUGAAAAAGCCUGGUUGAGUUUUAAUGAGGUAUAAUGCUCUUGGUGGUAGAAACUGAUGAAUACAUAUAAAGGAACAGCCGACAUGAGAAGCAGUUUAGGAAAACCAACACACAGAGAAGGAAGGUCCUCUAAUAGGGGACAAAUAAUGAGGAUUAGCAUAACAAGCAGGGUUGGGUUUUGAAGGCCCAUGAUGCUUUGGAGGGAUUCUUCUCUUAUACCGUUAAGGAAAGCAAGACUAUGAAAGGUCUGAUUCACAGUCACACGCUUUACAUUAAAGAAAAUAAUGCUGGACUUCACAUUUGAAAUGAUCACUGUACAAUGAUGCAACAGUCUAAUAAAAGGUUGUGGUUUGGCCCUGGAAAAUGUUUUAUGAUCAGAUCAAAAUGGGGACAUUUAAUAGACUUUUACUGUUUUUAUCUACGUCUAGUUACUGUAACCCUAACUUAGAACCUACCUCUAUUUUUAUGUGAAAUUUUUUUUUGUAUUUUUUCUUACAAAUAAAAAA